GUUGUUACUUUGUUUUCAGUGCAGACUGGCUGUGUUGUGUAACAUUACCAAAAAACUAAAAUCCUCUUCAUUAUCUGUUCUUCAGGCUGUACUUUAUGACCAUGACCGGAGCAGAAUCAGCUCUCUGCAGAAAGAUGAAUCUGACCCCAGAGCUCUGUCCUACAUCUACCGACACGAAGACACCUACAUUCUGUUCUACAUCAGGACGGCCACUCUGGCAGAUCCAGUCCUGGCUGACAUCGAGACGGUUUGUCGGGGUUUGGAGCAUGAGACACCACAGGAACAUCCACAGGCACCGACACAUGUCAGAGAAAAUCUUUACUUUGUUUGUCUAUUGGAGGGGUUUCAUGUGGGUGUGUUUUUUGUGUGUGUUUUUUUUUACCAGUGUUGUUUGUUUGUUUCAGACCAGUCCUCCACUGCUUCUAAAUGACGUUUCAGCCCCUCCAGCAGAGGUGAAUGAAGAAUAACAACACUUAAGACUCCUGAUCUUUUUCUAAAGUUUAUUGUUGAACAAUUCUUGAUCUUUGUUUCCCCUUAAUGGUGACGGUCACAUGUACAAACGUCUUCAGUGUUUGAAUGUGCUGUUAUUUUCAGGGACCAGCUUUAGAGAAUAUCUUUAGUCCACCAGACUCUUCAUCAGGACCUUCACACCAGGUAAAAUCAACAAAACCGUAACACCUGAAUGUUUUAAUCCACACUGUCUUACAGCACAAUGAGGGAUGAUUUGUCAUUCAUAUCCAUUAACAGUUCUGCCACUUUACUGUUGGUUGAUGACUGUUUGAUUGAGAAAACUGUUUUAUUAAACACAGACUAUAGUGUUUUCUGUUUCUCUGCCUACAGGCUUCUUCCACGAAUGAGUUGAUGGAAAUCUUCUCCCCCAAGAUGGAAUCACCAAUGGUGCCCAGCCAGAGUCUAUGUACCAGUCAGCCAGGUCAGUGAACCAGUUACUGUGUAAGAUAUGGAUGAAGCUGGGUUUAAUGUCUCAAUCUCUAGUUUCAAAUCUUCUUUAAUUCAGAGUGAUGUUCAUUUUGUAAAAUAGAUGAUACGCAGGGUACGCUUGGGUACAUGGCUACCUUGUGAUUGGUAUUUGAGUUCUCAGUCAGAUCUGAUUAGCGCCACCAUUUUAUCCCAGUACUGUCAAAUUUGGCUCCAAUUGGUUUUUUGCUGUAAUGCCAAACUCAGGGCUUUAAAAUGGUAGUCCACAAACUGAAGGAUGACGUCACAGUGGGUUUACACUUGGUUGCGACGUGAGGCCGACGUGAGAUGUUUUGCGAGUCUCUCAGAGACUCUGAGUCUCUUUUGCUCGAGUUACCAAAGACUCAAACCAUUCAUCUUACAACUCAAACAUGUCAUUUUUAGAAGUAGUUUGUUGAUUCUUCUUAAAAAAUUAUUAAAAUUCAUAGCCUAUAAACUAUAUUGUAUUCUUAACAUAUUAAAGAGUCCCAUCUGUUUACUUAUAUUAUAUAAUAUAUAAUAUAUAUAUAAUAUUUACGAUUGUCAUUUGAGGUUUUUUUGUAAUAAAUGUCCAUCACAGGUUGUUAUGACCAUUUGUGAUUUCCAAUCUAUUUGAUGUUAAUAUGCAUUAAACUGUGAUCAACCGGACUUGCUUUACGGUACGUAUUAUGAAACCAACGCUAUCUAAAUAAGAUACACAUAGAGAAUAUGUAAGGGAUAAUAGAAUGAAUCAGGACGAAUCAGGUUCUUCCGGUUCUUCCUGUCAGGACUUAUUUUCCCAAUAAUGACCGCUGUUCUAUACAUUAUCCCGCUUAUUACACGGCUACUUGCCAACACGGAAAACAAAUUCGCACAGUGUGUCUUUUUACAAUGUAUUUGUUACCAUUCAUAGUGUUUUUCAGCAGAGAAAUAUAGUUCACCAAACCGACGCCGUUUCGCUUCUCCCUCUUCGCUGCUUUCCUCUCUUUUUCUUUUCUUGACCGGUGACGACAACUCAGCCUUUUGCCAAGACUCAAAAUCUUCCAUAUUCUAUCCAUAUUUUCCAAAAAAUUUAAGUUAAUGUGAAACUCAUCCAUACUAGUGGCCUAGGAGUACAUUUUUUUCCGAUAUGAAGUAGACUACAGAUCAGCUGACGUCGCUUAGUGACAGAAGACGCUGGGGUGAUAAGUGACCGGACUACUUAAGGAGCGAAGAUUUUAGAGCGAGGAGUGCUACGAAAUACGUGAAUCAGAGGCAAAAAGGCCCCUUCCCUUGACGACAGUCAAAUAUGCUUAGCAGCGGUCAAUUAUACGAAAAUAAUUGACCGCCAAACGUUGGGAAGGUCCAUUCAAGUGAAUGGAGCAUUCUACAGCAUUAAGAAGAGCUGCGUAAUAAGAUAUAAUAUAUAGGGGGGGUACAUUAUUUUGAUUAAAUGAAUGACAUGCAGGAUUUUCCAUGAAAAAAACUAUGUAUGGAUUCAUAUAAAAAGUCUUCUAUUUUAAUCAUGACUUAUGAUGCACUAGAAGUGUAGCUGUAUCUCCAGAGAUCCUGCCGUCUGCCUGUAUUUUCUUCUGCUCUGUUAGAGUGUUUCUAGAAGUAAGCGGUUCUUGAGGUAUUAGUAUAGUAUAAAAUAGUUCAUUGUUGAGUCUCAUUCCCAACCAAAAGUGAUGGUGUUUGAUGACCAGGGGAUGGUAUGUUUACUAACAGCAAAUGACAAAUCCUGCGUAGUAUACCUUAGAUUUUAGCAACUACCGUUUGUAGUGUUUUGUUUGUAGGCUUAACAGGCACGGACACAAAAUGACAGGACAUGAAGGCGUAGAAUAUGAUAACAGUACAGCCCUUUCCACAUUAUGGGUGUGCUCUCAUGCAAAUAUCACAUCAGGCAAACAGACAAACAAUGAUCACUUUCCUUUUCUUGAUUUCAAGACGACUCACUGUUGGCAUCGCUGUCUAUCUGAAUCAGAGAUUUAACACAUCUGUGUUGUGUGACCACACUUCACACUGUGGCGUUCAAACUGUGGUCGAAUGAAACAGUUGAAUAAUAUUUCAGUGUGCGCCAGAUUUAAACAAACCACUUUAUCUCACUAUAAACAAGUCAAGAGAGCAGCGAUCUGGAGCCUCACUGAUCCUCUUAAACCAAUAACCUUUGACCUGGGGGUGCCCGAGAGAUGCACACAGUAUUUUCCCAUGUUCCCAUAUUUGAUAUAUGUUUUCCCAUGGCACGGCUGAAGAAGAGCCAAGUUUCAGUCGCGCUUUAAUAUGAGAGGAAUGUGCAGUGUUCACUGUGUAUAAACGAUGAAACGAGUUAUCUCAGAUGUAUUUUGCCUCACUCGUCACAUGCUCAGUUCCCACACUGAAGGAUUCAGUCAGGCCGUCUCAACCUUCACCUCUUACUCUGCUAAAACCGCCAUGUAUGGAACGACAGCCAUAAGCACUGGACUCGAUUAUUACUAGAAUACGAACACGUUGGUUGGCGCUUGUCUCCAGAGUGUGUGAGUGGGCGGUAGUGUGAUGUUCAUGCAGUCCAGUAAAGGUUAAAAAGGCGGUGUGAUUCAUGUAUUCAACACCAGAGGCCGAGGAUUUCUUUUUUUUAUGAUUGGUAAAAAGCAUGAUUAAACAAUAUACUUGACACUAGAUUUACAGGUCACCCCACUCACGACACACCAAUAAAACACAUUAUGAAAUACAAUAAUAAUGACGAUAAGAAGAGUAAUAAGAAAUAAAAACUAUUUAGAAAAUGGAUUUAAAGGAGAAGACAGUAAUAACCAAAUUAGAAAAAAUAGAAAGGAGAUAGUGGAAAGAGAAGAUUGAAAUAAAAUAUGUUUUAUAUUUGUGUUUUAUUUUGUUGGGUUCAGUGUA
Sparus aurata (gilthead seabream) is the source of this 3792-nucleotide long non-coding RNA. The record is from Ensembl. NCBI's taxonomy places the organism in Eukaryota, Metazoa, Chordata, Actinopteri, Spariformes, Sparidae.